UGGGGAAUAUUGGACAAUGGGCGAAAGCCUGAUCCAGCCAUGCCGCGUGAGUGACGAAGGUCUUCGGAUUGUAAAGCUCUUUUGGCGGGGACGAUAAUGACGGUACCCGCAGAAUACGACCCGGCUAACUUCGUGCCAGCAGCCGCGGUAAUACGAAGGGGGCUAGCGUUGUUCGGAAUUACUGGGCGUAAAGCGCACGUAGGCGGAUUGUUAAGUCAGGGGUGAAAUCCCGGGGCUCAACCUCAGAACUGCCUUUGAUACUGGCAAUCUCGAGUCUGGAAGAGGUGAGUGGAAUUCCUAGUGUAGAGGUGAAAUUCGUAGAUAUUAGGAAGAACACCAGUGGCGAAGGCGGCUCACUGGUCCGGUACUGACGCUGAGGUGCGAAAGCGUGGGGAGCAAAC
RNAcentral lists this ribosomal RNA (401 nucleotides) under uncultured bacterium. RNAcentral describes it as "bacterial SSU rRNA". It matches the Rfam family "Bacterial small subunit ribosomal RNA", at positions 355 to 773 of the family's 1533-position model. The record is from RNAcentral.